This 459-nucleotide ribosomal RNA is filed under the name uncultured bacterium. RNAcentral's name for it is "partial 16S ribosomal RNA". It matches the Rfam family "Bacterial small subunit ribosomal RNA", at positions 338 to 795 of the family's 1533-position model. The record is from RNAcentral.
CCUACGGGAGGCAGCAGUGAGGAAUAUUGGUCAAUGGCCGAGAGGCUGAACCAGCCAAGUCGCGUGAGGGAAGACGGCCCUACGGGUUGUAAACCUCUUUUGUCGGGGAGCAAAGCGAGUCACGUGUGACUCAUUGAGAGUACCCGAAGAAAAAGCAUCGGCUAACUCAGUGCCAGCAGCCGCGGUAAUACGGAGGAUGCGAGCGUUAUCCGGAUUUAUUGGGUUUAAAGGGUGCGCAGGCGGAGGUGCAAGUCAGCGGUCAAAUUGCGGGGCUCAACCCCGUACUGCCGUUGAAACUGCAGCCCUUGAGUGCGCGAGAAGUAGGCGGAAUGCGUGGUGUAGCGGUGAAAUGCAUAGAUAUCACGCAGAACUCCGAUUGCGAAGGCAGCAUACCGGAGCGCAACUGACGCUCAUGCACGAAAGCGUGGGUAUCGAACAGGAUUAGAUACCCGGGUAGUC